UUUUGGUACUUUCUUCUGUGUUGUUCGCUGUGUGUGUUAAAGAAGAAAAGCCGUUUCUACUAAAUCAUUCUCCCAAGAUUUUGUAUGUAAGAUUUACAUUUUUUUGGGGGAGAAAAAAUAAACGUAUAAUUUUGAAACAAAAAAUAAGAAAAAUCUUUAAAAAGAGUGUAUACACUAAUUAACAGGUUUUGUUGGACAUUUGUGACAGUUUUAGAAAGAAGUUAUUUAUUUUUCAUCAGACGAAAAAUGCUGUAGAUGAAACGAAAAUCAGCGAAGUGUAGCGCAGCCCUCGCAUUCAAAUCCAAAAUGUCAUUGGUACCUUCCAAAGUACUUAUUCAUGUUCAACAUUAAUGCAGUAUCCUGCCAAUACUAACACUAUUAAUUAUUAUUUAGACUUUAAUUAAAUAUUUCUAUAAAUAUGCUUAAUGCUUUUUAGCUUUUAUUAUUUAUAUUAAAUUUAAUUAUUAUUCAUUUUUAAAUUAUUUAUAAGUAUAAUUAUGUUUAUUUUUUAAUGCUUUGUAUUACUAUGCGCAUUGUAGUUUAAAUAGUAAAUGGCUUUUUGUUAAGUAGUUCAAGUUUUGCUUUAGUUUUUAAUUUAAAUUAUUAUGAAAUAAUAAA
Molecule: long non-coding RNA, 618 nt
Filed under: Lucilia cuprina (Australian sheep blowfly)
Lineage: Eukaryota; Metazoa; Arthropoda; Insecta; Diptera; Calliphoridae
Description: uncharacterized LOC124419783, transcript variant X1
Source: RNAcentral